UGAAUACGAGAUGCUACGGCGUCGAAGCAGUCUAUGUCAUACUUCCAAGAAAAGCUUGCACUGUCAUAAACAAAUAAUGCCUGUACCAUAACCGACACAGGUGGGUAGGUAGAGUAUACUAAGGGGCGCGAGAUAACUCUCUCUAAGGAACUCGGCAAAAUGACUCCGUAACUUCGGGAGAAGGAGUGCCUUAUUUAUAAGGUUGCAAUAACAAGAUCCAAGCAACUGUUUACCAAAAACACAGGUCUCCGCUAAGUCGUAAGACGAUGUAUGGGGGCUGACGCCUGCCCAGUGCCAGAAGGUUAAAGAAGUUGGUUAGCAUCCGCGAAGCUGAUAACUGAAGCCCUGGUGAACGGCGGCCGUAACGAUAACGGUCCUAAGGUAGCGAAAUUCCUUGUCGGGUAAGUUCCGACCCGCACGAAAGGCGUAAUGAUUUGGAUACUGUCUCGGAGAGGGGCUCGGUGAAAUAGACUUGUCUGUGAAGAUGCGGACUACCUGCACCAGGACAGAAAGACCCUAUGAAGCUUUACUGUAACCUGAAAUUGAAAUUGGACUUUACUUGCGCAGUAUAGGUGGGAGGCGUUGAGAAUAUUCUUGCGGGAUUAUUGGAGCCAUCAGUGAGAUACCACUCUUGUAAUGUUAGAUUUCUAACUUUGUAUCAUUAUCUGGUCAAAGAACAGUUUCAGGCGGGCAGUUUGACUGGGGCGGUCGCCUCCUAAACGGUAACGGAGGCGCACAAAGGUUUCCUCUGAACGGGUAGAAAUCGUAUCUAGAGUGUAAAGGCAUAAGGAAGCUUGACUGUGAGACCUACAAGUCGAGCAGGGACGAAAGUCGGUCUUAGUGAUCUGACGGUGCUGAGUGGAAAGGCCGUCACUCAACGGAUAAAAGUUACUCUAAGGAUAACAGGCUGAUCUCCCCCAAGAGUUCACAUCGACGGGGAGGUUUGGCACCUCGAUGUCGGCUCAUCGCAUCCUGGGGCGGUAGUACGUCCCAAGGGUUGGGCUGUUCGCCCAUGAAAGCGGUACGCGAGCUGGGUUCAGAACGUCGUGAGACAGUUCGGUCCAUAUCCGGUGUAGGCGUUAGAAUAUUGAGAGGAGCCUUCUUUAGUACGAGAGGACCGAGAAGGACAUACCUCUGGUGUACCAGUUAUCGUGCCAACGGUAAACGCUGGGUAGCUAUGUGUGGAGUGGAUAACCGCUGAAAGCAUCUAAGUGGGAAGCCCACCUCAAGAUAAG
RNAcentral lists this ribosomal RNA (1235 nucleotides) under metagenome. RNAcentral describes it as "bacterial LSU rRNA". It matches the Rfam family "Bacterial large subunit ribosomal RNA", at positions 1564 to 2808 of the family's 2925-position model. The record is from RNAcentral.